This is a long non-coding RNA of Lynx canadensis (Canada lynx), 253 nucleotides long. RefSeq lists it as uncharacterized. The transcript has 3 exons. NCBI's taxonomy places the organism in Eukaryota, Metazoa, Chordata, Mammalia, Carnivora, Felidae. The record is from RefSeq and is a predicted model, not a curated record.
GCUGGCUACUGAACACUUCAGCGUUGGGAAGUAACAAGUCCUGGAGUCUACUGCUUGAGAGAGAGGAAGCUUUCGUUCAAGCAGGGCAAACAGUCUUCACAUUCACAAGGAUGCCGGCAGGUACAAGGGCUGAACUUGGUGGCAGUGGUAAAGGACUUAGAGAUCUUCUGGGGCAAGCAAGAGCUAAAGAAAGAAGAGCCAAUUAAACUGAAAGAAGGAUGAAAUAAAAACCAGAAAUCAACAAAACAGAAGA